Molecule: transfer RNA, 29 nt
Filed under: Urosaurus graciosus
Lineage: Eukaryota; Metazoa; Chordata; Lepidosauria; Squamata; Phrynosomatidae
Description: partial tRNA-Thr
Source: RNAcentral
GCCUCUGUAGCUAAAACUUCAAAGCACUG